Anas platyrhynchos (mallard) is the source of this 10714-nucleotide non-coding RNA. NCBI's taxonomy places the organism in Eukaryota, Metazoa, Chordata, Aves, Anseriformes, Anatidae. The record is from RefSeq and is a predicted model, not a curated record.
GGUCCGGGUCCCAAGGGGAUCAGGCACCCAGAUUCCAGCGGGAUUUGAACGCUCUAAAAAGUGCUGGCCUUGGACUCCGUAAACAUAUAUUUGGAGAAAGCACUGUGGUUAGAGCAGUCUUUUUUUAUAAGAACAGUAUGUUUUGGCUUAGUAAAUGCUUGCUCUACUCUUUUACAGAUUCUUGUUUUGAUUUAUAUCUUGCAUGUUCUUGUUUGUCUCCUUGAGUGAAACUGUAUAUUCUUUUUUUUUUUUUUUUAUAAAUGUUUUGAAUCUAGCUAUAAAGGGCAGCAGACAAAAACACGCAGUGAUCCCAAAAAAAGACUAAUUGGUUUAUUUACUCAAAAUCCUGGCUCUUUUAUGCUGAGUUAUGCAAAAUUACCACAGCAAGAAUGAUCAUUGACAACAGGUUUUGUUAGUGUUUUAAUCUAGGGUUGUAUUUUAUGGCUAGACUUUAAGGAAAUUGGACAAAAGAUGUAGGUCAAACAGUAUAAUUAAAAAUACAGAACAGCAGAUUGGAUCCAAUAAUAAUUCACUUUCCUGCUGCUAAUGAAAUAUGCUAGCACAAAUUAAUGGCUUGUUACUUAAGCCCGUUGGAAAGACUUUGUCCCAGUACAAAAGGCAUUCAGUUUGAAAAUGUGUGUUACAAUCUUCUAACCAGCAAAGCUAGAGAUUGGACAUAGCUAUAAAUCCAGUGUGUUCUGGGAAUAGAAGCUGGCAAAAACACUCCUAGCAAAAUAUCAGAGCAGGAUCUCACUGGGAUUUGGAGAGCGGCUAAUGUAACCGAGUGCAGAUGUUUAUGUGGACCGAAAGACAUUCCCAGAAUAAGAAUACCAUACAAACACAUGGUGAUUUUUAUAGCAGAAAAACAAGGAAGUGGGGAUAAUAAAACAUAUGCUCUUAUUUCUGAUGAAGCAUUUGCUGUUUUGCUCAAUGCGCCUCUACUGAAGUGGGCAAGGCUGCCUCUCCAGUGCCUGCUGCUGGGGCCUAUGGAAGCUUCUGGAAGUCCUUGGGUUGUGGGGCUGGUGCUCAUGUGAAGCUCCACAGACUCCCUGUGUGGCUCCCUUGGUCUUUCUGAACUUCGCAGAGGAAGUAAGAGUUUCUGAAAGUGUGAUGUAUCACACGCUGAGGUAACAGCUAAAAUAGGUCAGGUGGAUUUCAUCCCAGACACCUGGUUCUCACUACAGGCUACAAAGGGAGCCUAGGGUGAUGAGCUUAAAUGAAGGUAUUUGUGUUAUACAUAGAUUUUAGUCAGAUAAAUUCUGACUGAACGUGGAGCUUUUUCCACUGAUUUCUGGGAAUCUGGGAUUAACUCCUCAAAAUUCAUGGUGACAGAAGUGCUGCUUACAUGUAGGGCUGCUGAUGGGUUGCGAGUCCUAUGCAUGACACUGCUUGCAACCAUUUGUCCUGUCUUCAUGCCAGCCUCACAUGCACUGGCCUAAAUGUGGGUCCCCUUCCUGAAAAUGCUCUCAGGGUAACUCUACCAAGAAGAGCAGUCUCACUGACCUGAAACUAGGACAUCAGGGUCUCAGUACUCUGUGGUUGAGGAAGAGGCAGAUUGCUACCAGGCCUUUAUGGCCUAUGGAGCCCUUUCCUUCCCUACCGUAUACUAUCUCUAUAAUUUUUUCACAAACCUAUCAAGUUGCACCCGAAACCAGGCAGACUAUUUGUACCCAGUUCUCAUACUAUAAAAGUGUAUUUUGCUGAUGCUUCAGACAAGUUCCUUCUGCAAGUUGAGUUUAUUUCUGGGCAGAUUUACUAUUUUGCCAAAAAUUUUGCUUUUCUGGUUAUCUGGAGAAGUGGUAAUUUAUAUUUCUGCUGCUUCACUCCCCUCAGCUAACUCAACUUCAGUUCCAUCUUCUAUAUCAUAGCAUGAACUAAGUAAUUCCCAUUAGUUUGUAGCCGUAUCUGAAUUAUUUUUAUCUGAACUCUACUGCCUGCAUAGUGGCAUCUUUUCUUCCCCUCUUGCUAACAAGGAUUGUCUGCUUUUUAUUUUCCUUACCAGUGUUUAGUUUAGCUGGUAUUUUUUGCUUUAGUUCUGGGCUUCCCAGCACUUGUUUCUUUUCCUGUUUUCAUUCUCUGCCUUUAACUUUUUCAUUGGCUGCACCAUCCUUUCUUACAAGCUCUUUACCCUGCUUUUAUUUUGAGCACAACUAUCUUCUCUUGCAUGUGAAGUUCAGAGAACUGAAUUCUCUAAUUCCUUCUUUGGUUGCUUAGUGCAGCUCUUACUAUCUCUUAACAGAGACAAGGAUUUGCCCGAGACCUUAGGAUACUGUUGACCAACAAGAUCUGCAAUAAUGUAUAUCCUACACUUCUGUAUUCAACCUCUGUAUUGUUUGUUUGUUUAAGAAAAAGGGAGAAACCUUAUGCCCACAGCUGCCAAACAGAUUCUGCAGACCACUGAGAAACAGAUGCUACAGAUUGUUACUUAGUGGUCGAUUACAAAUAAACUUGCCUCUUCCUUCCCUUUGCCCCCAAGAAAGAAAACCCAAAUCUUUCUUCAAUGACUUGCUGCUUUUCCUUAAAAAGACAGCUCCAAUUUUUUUAUUUUUUUGCUUUUUAAUUGAUUACACAUCUAACUGACAAGGUAGUAAAUAACUAUAAUUCCAGAUGUGGGGAAGGAACGCAGCUACUUUAGAAAUUAUCCAAAAAAAAAAAAAAAAGGAUUUUCCCAUGAGAACUGAGUGACUUUAGUAAAAGGGGAUUAUUUGCAGACAACACUCUGUCAAAAAGUGGCAUUUCUCGCAAGUUUUUCUACUCCUCGUAUUCUGGUCAACCUCAAGUAAUAGUUUCAGGUGAGAGAAAUAGUGAAAAAAUAGAUUUUGAAGCUCAGUGGUUUUUAUUUUGGAAAAUAAUUAAAGCAAAAAAGCAUCAAUCGUUUUCUUGUAAAAUGUUUUAUUCAGCAUAUCAAAUUUCAUUUUUUGAUUAUCCAAAGUUUCUGGAGUGUUCUUAAUAAACUGGGUAAAGAAGGGAGGAGAUACUAUUUGCUAGCGGGAUUAGGGUGGGGUCUUGAAAAAAUUUGGCCCAGAACAGUUAUCUCCUAUUUUUGUCAGGCUAGUAUUCAAAAUGGGAAGAAUCCAUUCCACCCAGUUCUGUUCCAGCUAUUAAAAUAAAAUUCUCAUUAAAGGAAAUGCUGAAUAGAUAGUUUUUUUUAUGAAGAUGCUAUGUGUUAUAUACUGUUUAUAUAUCCACUUAUAUAUUUUUAUAUAAACAAUAUAUAGAACAAUAUAUAGGAGUGGGAAUUUAUGCCAUUUACAUAGACAUUUCUCCAGGUCUAGAUUUCACAGGUGAUUUAUUCUUGAGAAAGGAGCUGCCUCUUCUCGACUGCUUUGUCUUUUGGUCUGCCAAAUGGAAAUACACAAAAUGGAUGAAGUAUACAAGAUCUCUUCUACUGAGAAGGUCCAGCAGCUGGAAAGAGAACUAGCAGCACAGUUGGCAGAGCUGAAGGCACAAAUAGAGGACAACGGGGUACUCCAGGGAACACCAGGCAGAGCAUACAGCUCUGUUCCAGUUCCAAAGGAUGUAACUUAUUUCAGAAAAGAAAGGGAGGUAAUACUGAAAAAAGUCUUACAGGUGACAGAGGCAAAACCCCUUGUUAUUCAGGCUGAUGUCAUGCAGAGGGAGUUAGAGAGCUGCUGGAGAAGGGAGUACACAGCAGCAAGCUUGCCUCUGCUGCUGCACCAGUUUUUUACAGACAGAAUCACUCAGCUAGUCCAGAGUAAAUAUUUGCACAUGCUUAGAUGGAAGAGAUUUUGUACACACAGCAGUGUUAUUGAGAAGCUUUAUCCUCUCUAUCAGCAGCGAGUUAGUCACAUCAUGGAGGAAUAUAAUGAUGCAGUUCAGAGGGCCGCAAGACUUUCAGCUGCAAGGGAGAAUUUCCUGACAGGAAAGAAAAAUCCAAUGAAUUUGGUGACACAGGAAGAUCUGAUGAUUUACACUCAGUGGUUAGUGUGCCACUUCCACUCUUUGAAGGGCAUUCACCGUUUUCUCCAGAUUCUCCAGCAUUUGCCUGCUUCUCAUAGACUGAAUGUGGUUGAUGAGAAAUGUCCUGAUGUGAUCCCAAACAACUGGGACAAAUUAAGUGCUUUUGACAAGAAUUCAGAAUCCUGUCACAAGGACACUGGAUUCACAUUGCCACAGCACAGCACUGAAACCGAGGAGCUGAGACCCCAGCUCCAGCUUCUGAUGGCUCACUUUGGUAUUGACUAUAACCUUGAGGAUCUGAAGAACCCAGCCAAUGAGAUGGAGCUCUUUUCCCUGGUUGUCAGAAAGUUUAGAAGCAUCUUCAGCAAACAGCAGACGAUGAGAACAUUUCCAGUUUAUGACACAGAGGCUUCUAGAUCAGAUAAAUGGGGCAUGUUAGAUCCAACCAGGGCUUUGAAGAAGAGAGCCAAUUGGAUUCCCUUUUUAAAGAUUAAGCCUAAAGUAGACCCCUGGCAGCAAAAGCUUUUGAUAAAAUUGAAACAAUGGAAAAGAGUGGAUAAGAUGAUGGACCUUCAUUCAAAAUUUGUAGAGGUCUCGGACAUGGAGAGGGUGCUGGAGGGUCUCCAGAAUCAUGCAGCAGUGGUGCUCAAACCACAUGCUUUGCAGUCAAGUUCUGCCACCUCUCAUGCCUCAGGACAGCCGAAUUACGAUCAUAUCUGGAAGGAAGUCUAUGCCUUCUCUGAGCAUCAACAGGAACUAAGUACUGAGGAUGAUCACACAGCUGUGGCUCAUGGUGAGGAGGAUGUAGAAAACACCAGCUCCAGUAAGCCCCCAGGAUCCUGCAGAAAGAAGAGUGAAAGAGGGUAUAGUUAUAUGAGCACCUUGCAGCUGCUAGGAUUGGAAGAAGGAACAACAAUUGCCAACAAGGAGCAUGUGGUGACAAGAGGAACCUACCUGUCCUUUCUUCUCCUACGUCACCUGAGGCUCCGAGAGCUAAAGCGAGUAUGCCUGGGGAUCCUGAACUAUUUUAGGUCUGUGGAGAGAAGCCUGACCAUCAGUACCUCAGGCCUCUCCUUCAAGGCUGGUCAUCUAAUUCCCUGCGCAGAAGACACCUCCUGGGUCAAUGCUGCCAAAGGAGGCACUGGUGUUUCUGGUGGCUUAUGCUCUCAGCCCUAUAUUCACUACACACCAGCUGACUACAAGGUGCAUAGCGCUCAGUUCAUGGAGUUUGCAGAGGUGGAAAACCAUGAUGACUUCCACACUCGUGGCGAUGGAUAUAUUCACACACAGGACCAGAGAGGGGCUUACAUCAUGUAUGAUGUGGCUUUAGAGGACCUGAAGAAGCUUGAGAACCAGCUGCUGCUUGUGGCCAGUCAGUACAUCGAGAAAGAUAAAAGCAAUGUAACUUGUGGGAAGUAUGGUGGCAGCAAAAUCCCUGUCUGGGCACAUGCCUCUGUGGAUCGAUUCGCUGUGUUGCUUGACCUUUGGACCUGUGAAGCUGCUCUCUUGGAAAAAAAAUGCCAGCUUUUAGAUGUUUACUUUGAAGCUUACCAACAUGCUUUGGACCCAGAAGAAAGAUUUGCUUUGGCCCAAGCAAUAAUUGACAUCAUGCACAAACAUCCGCGGUUUGAUCUCAAGCUUGAAUAUUUUGUGAACACCUACAAAGACGAAUGCAUCUGUUUACAACUUCAUCACCAGCUGCUAAGGGACAUAGUAAACCAACAAAUAGAUGUUCAGAGGGAUUAUGUCAACAAGAUUUGGUGGAAAGGUGAGAAAGGUGGCAUCAGUGAAUUUGGACUUCCUUAUAAUGUGAUUACUAAGCAACUUAUCUCUCUUAACACUAGCCAUCCUACUUUGAAGAACAUUUAUUUGCUGGAGUUUCACCCUUCUCUUGGUCUGGUGUGCUUGAUCCCCAAAGUUCUUGAGUAUAUCUACCAGGAAUACUACAGCAUGUGUAGACCCAAAACAGCCAGUAAAGCGAUUGAUUUAGAAAAACAACUACUUCAGCUAGCACUUCAUGAGUGGCUGACUAUGGAAAAACCACAAUCUUUCUACAGCUCUCAGAUUCAAGAAGAUUUAUUUGCAGAGGUACUGAUAGAGGACCCCAUGCUGGUGCGAGAGAUUGCUUCAUCACUGUUAGAGAAGGGAGCGGAUGAAGAAAGAAUGGAAGGCAGAGGAAGGCAGUUCUUGAUGCUGGAUUCCUUCUCCACGGUCCUGGAGCUUGUCACGCUCCGCCAUCGCUUGAUAGAGGCGGCAACAGAGAGUGCACAGUUAGCCAGGUUAUAUAAGGCUUUUGCAAUGGAAACAGGUUUUGGGGAGUUCCAUUUGUAUCUGAGGCCAGCACACUUUGAAUCUGCAGUUCACAAGGAGAAAGCAGACCAUCUCCCACCAAUAUUCAUUACCUCUCUCUUGGAAGAUGACAGCUGUGUUGACAGAUAUAUCCCAUCUAGCUUACCAUUAAGCAUUCAAGAAAUCGACAGUCAUAUUGGAAAGUUUAGUUUUCGUACAAGAGAUGCUGUUAUGCAGCUCUUGUGUCCAUCUGGAAUAAAGAACAUGCAACUUAUCCUUGCCUGCCAGGUCAUUCAGAAAAAUGCUCUUUUGGCAGCUGUUCAGCAAGCCUCAUUUUGUUACCUGCUCCAGCCUGCCCAUAGCCUGGACAUAAAGGGAGGAAAUGUAAGUCUAACAAGUCAGAGGAGUUCAGCAAGUGGAAGAAAUUCAGUAUCUGGAAGCCAAGCAGAGGAUCAGCUGUUGCCAGCAACUAUGCCGGACACAUCAUUUUCUGUGCGUUCUUCAGGUUUACGCCGUGCCGCUCACAGGCCUCCUGAAGCUUUUAUUUCCAUCCAGCUGGAGAAACUGGGGCCCCGAGAUAUGAUGCUGAACACUUUCAUCCAAAAGAAAGAAAUGCUGGGCAGCAGAAUGCAAACCCCUGGUGAAGUUCUGGAACUCAAAAGAGACAUUAUUGCUGAAUAUUGUCGUAAGCUGAAUGAGCGUGUGUCCCAGCAUGCCCUGAGAGGUCAGCUCAUUGCAUACUACAAUAGCCUAAGAAGCCUCUUAGAUGAUUUUCCUGUCAUCAGAGACAAGUAUUUUAUAAUUGGAGUCUCUCAAGGAAAGAAGGAGGAGCAAGACUUAAAGGAAAACCUUGUAGCUGAUCCCAGAUCCUUCCAUCCUCGACCACACCAUUUGCUGUCUCCAGAUGGACUCACCUUCCUUAACCUGUGGUUCAUCCCUCACCCUGCUGAAGUGCUGAUUAUGUUCAAGAUGCUUCCAGAGAAGGCUGCUCUCAGAGCUCUCCACCUAAGCCUAGAAAUUGUCGGUGCAUUUCAUGAUGUGGUUUCAUAUCUCCUGGCUUUUGCUCAAUUAGGAAAUUCACCAAGCCCUUUCUCUGCUUUAAACCCAGAGCCUCUGACCCCAGACUGGGGAGGAACUGAAAGGAUUGGGAGUGAACUUCGAGAGAUACAGAAAAUGAUUGACAGCCUUCAGAAUCCACUAGAUCCCAGUGAAGUAGCCCAGCUGCUAGCUGCUUACAGAGAAGUGAUGUUUCUACAGUUCGAUGCAGCAAUCCGACAUCGACUACGGGAGACAUUUUUGUCCUCAGGGAAUGUUUCAGCCUACCAGAAUGUUACAGACAGGAUGUCCCAUGCACUGCCUCCACUUAGUAACUCUGCGAUUCAGAGUGCAUUUGCUUCACAGCUACGGCUCCCACAGUUUCUGGAUCCUCAAAGUUGCAGGACACUCAUGCAUUUUCCUUGGAGGACAUUCCUAAUGGAUGGCGGAUUGUUUCCAGUCACUAUCAACAACUCAAUUAAUGUAAAUUACAACAUGCAGCUGUGCCUGUGCAACCUGAGUGAUGCAGACCGAAAAGUUGCUCACGGGGAGCUGACUGCAAUGCAGUUUCUAAUGGAGGAUGUCUUGCAGAACUGCUACAGCUCUGCUGAGGAAGAUCACACUGAUUGUCAAGCCUCAUUAGCUAAGAGCAAGCAGAACUUGGCAGAAAUGAUUGACACAAGUACUAACUGGUUGCAAAGCAGCAAAAAAAUGUGCAAACUUUUGCUGAGGCAUCAGGAUCCAGUCCUAUCAUGUAACUUACUGAGAUCUUUCCUGAUACUGUGGAAGCAACUGGAAAUGUUAAAGGCAGAAUGGGGCCGGCUGAAGCUGAGGACUGAGGAUAUAAAUACAGUUCCUCUCUACAAAGAGUUUUGUGAGCAAUAUGGCACAGACAUCUUGCACCCGGCCAUGAAAGCCAUAGCCAGAAAAAUGGGCACAGAAGAGGACUUUGGAGGGCCUGUUACAAGCACUCAGCAUAUACUUCCCCCAAAAGGAGCAUCAGAAAUUGAAAUGAAAGUGUAUCAGAUUCAAAAGCUCCUGGAAAGCCUGGAAAUCCACAUGAUCCAUGAUGUGCAGAAGAAGAUUAAACUGGAGAUGACUCUAGUGACAUCUGAAAGAGCCAGACAAGAGAGCAGCCUCCCCACUGAGCUCUGGAAACAUAGGGUAAUGCGAGAAAAUUUCUCAGUUGUACGACCACAGAUAGUUGAAACAUUUGUUCAAAGGCUGAUGGAAAACUACCAAGAAUCAGAUACAGAGGUUACUUUUAAAAAAAGCCAUUUACAACAGUGUCUUACUGUACUGGGCUGUGACAUCAUGGCCAGAGAACGCAGCAACUUUGAGACCUACUCCAUGUUUUAUGAAAAUAUUCUCCAGCAGCUGCAUCAUCUACUUUACCAAAAAGAACAAGAGCUGCAUGCGGUGGAAGAAGGUGGCAACCAAGGCGAUAUGGCUCUGAUGCAGAUUGCGGGGCUGAGUCAUGGAAUGAUUAUGGAAAUAACCGCUCUCAGAGCCCAGGUUGCUGACUUAGAGGAAGAAAAUCUCAGUCUCAAAGAGAAGAUAAGGAAAGAAGUACGGGAUGAAUACGAAUCAUUAGUGCAGAACCUAUUUGUGACUUGUGUCCAUCUAAAAGGGAAGUUGGAUGUCUAUCGACUUAGCAUUGAGCAACGAGUGCUUGAAAUCAUCAGUGAAGUGAGAAGGGAAGGAGUUGACAAUAUGAUUGAUCUGAAGAAAAAGUUUGGCUCCUCUGAAAAUAAUGGUGACUUGAAAGAAUACUUGUCUAAACAGGAACAGCUGCAGCUCUUGCAGGAUGAAAAUAUCAGGCUAAGCAAGCUGGUGUGCAAGCUGAAGGCUCUGAACUGCUGGAAGCAAACCACUCAGAAGGCACGGCUCUCCGCAAAACUGAGAGAUGCUGAGAAGGAAGCUGUUCAAAACAAAAAAGAGUGUUUGAAUGCUAAGAUGAUGGCAGAACAAGAGGUGACUUCAUUGGAGGGUCAGCUCACGUCCAUAAGGAAAACUCUUGUAAAAUCUCAAGCAGACAAUGACAAGCUAAAGAAACUGCUACAUAAACAGAAACAAAUGCUGUUGGAAAUGGGACAUCAGAUGACACAAGAAGCUAGGAAGAGAGAAAUUCUCAGUGCGGUGAAAGCUGAAAAUGUGGAGAAGAUGCUUGAAGAAAUAGAAGGAAAAGAGCAGAGACUGAAAUGCCUGACCAAGGGAGCUGAAAAGCCUUCUAAAAUAGGCCAACUUCAACAAAAAAGGGUCAAAAAAGAAAUGCAUGAGAUAGGAAGCCAGUUAACCCAAGAGCGCAGUUUCAAACUGGAGACCUUCCAGCCUGCUGAUGAACUACCGUGUCAAGUUUAUGGCCUGGAAGCUUCCCAGAGGAAUGUGACUGCAGCUGAGGAAGAGGAAUGCCUUCCCAGAAAGUGCAGGGUUGCAGCUAUGCAGCAGAACGCCCUCACUUCUCGCCUACAGUUCCUGGCAAGGCUAACGGGUGGUUUCGAUGCAGUACAGCAAUGCCACGCCGUACACAGGUUCUGCAGCUCAGGUCCAGAGGAACAGGUCUGCAGCCUCCACUCCGCUCGCUGAUUACAAGCAGCGCCCUUCGAAUCCUAAUCCAAGAAGCAGCACCGUAAAAAGAAGAAACACUCAAAGACCAAAGACAGUUCCUAGCAGAUGGAAGGAGAGCGUGGCAGAGAGGCCGUUACCACACCUAAAUGAAAAGUCUCUUCCUACUGUCUUCCUGCAGCUACAGGAACAGAGGCCUGUCCAGAAGUAAGCCUAAAUAUGUUUUUUAAUCAGUUCGAGGUGUUUCAGAAAUUACCCUGGGUUGGCAACCUUGAAGUGAGAGAAGCCCCAUUUAUACACAAACCAAAGGGAGGCAGCAGUCCUCCAGUGCUGUGCACGUACACUUCAACACCUUUGGAUACAGUGCUGGUAGCUACAGCCAGUUCAUCCUCUAACUGGGUGAUGCAGGUCCUCCUUCUGAGCAACAGCAGCACUGCACAUCCUCCUCUGACAGACAGUGCAGCACAGCAAGGCAAGGAUACCAGUCAAAACUAACAGGCUUCCUUUUAUUGCGGUAACCUUGGAACACAGCCGUGCAAAGCACAGCUAAGUUCUCAGAGCAAAAGUGGUUUUAGUUAAACUGCUUCCCUAUUGCAACCAUCGAACACCACCACAUCCUGCCUGACUGCUUUUACCCCCAGAGGUUGCUGCCUGUGCAGUGAACCUCUCAUGUUUAAAAAUGAAUCAUCAAAACGUCAGAACCUUUACCUUCCCUAGCACCUUCUUCUCCUUCCCCCUAGAAAGGGGAAGGAGAGCGGCUCAGGGGAAGGAGAGCGGCUCCUUGCACCGUGCUGCACUGCUAGAGCAAAAUGCAUAAAUUCAUGCUCCCUUAUCUGCAUCUCUCCCACAUGUAAACCCAUUGUUUUUAUAACUGAACCAAUAAAGGAAUCAAAGAUGUUUUUCA